This 459-nucleotide ribosomal RNA is filed under the name uncultured bacterium. RNAcentral describes it as "partial 16S ribosomal RNA". It matches the Rfam family "Bacterial small subunit ribosomal RNA", at positions 338 to 795 of the family's 1533-position model. The record is from RNAcentral.
CCUACGGGUGGCUGCAGUGAGGAAUAUUGGUCAAUGGUCGGGAGACUGAACCAGCCAAGUCGCGUGAGGGAGGAAGGUACAGUGUAUUGUAAACCUCUUUUGUCAGGGAACAAAGACUGGGCCGCGUCCCCGGAUGAGUGUACCUGAAGAAAAAGCAUCGGCUAACCCCGUGCCAGCAGCCGCGGUAAUACGGAGGAUGCGAGCGUUAGCCGGAUUUAUUGGGUUUAAAGGGUGCGCAGGCGGUCUUUUAAGUCAGCGGUAAAAGGUUGGGGCUAAACCCCAGCCCGCCGUUGAAACUGGGAGUCUCGAGUGGGAGAGAAGUAUGCGGAAUGCGUGGUGUAGCGGUGAAAUGCAUAGAUAUCACGCAGAACUCCGAUUGCGAAGGCAGCAUGCCGGCGCCACACUGACGCUGAGGCACGAAAGCGUGGGUAUCGAACAGGAUUAGAUACCCGAGUAGUC